AUAUACGACCGUACCGCAAACCGACACUGGUGCGCGAGAUGAGUAUUCUAAGGCGCUUGAGAGAACUCAGGAGAAGGAACUCGGCAAAUUGACACCGUAACUUCGGAAGAAGGUGUGCCCUAUUAGUGUGUAGUGAACAACGAAGCAUGAAUGGGUUGCAAAAAAUCGGUGGCUGCGACUGUUUAUUAAAAACACAGCACUCUGCAAACACGAAAGUGGACGUAUAGGGUGUGACGCCUGCCCGGUGCUGGAAGAUUAAAUGAUGGGGAGCAAGCUCUUGAUUGAAGUCCCAGUAAACGGCGGCCGUAACGAUAACGGUCCUAAGGUAGCGAAAUUCCUUGUCGGGUAAGUUCCGACCUGCACGAAUGGCGUAACGAUGGCCACACUGUCUCCUCCUGAGACUCAGCGAAGUUGAAAUGUUUGUGAUGAUGCAAUCUCCCCGCGGAAAGACGGAAAGACCCCAUGAACCUUUACUGUAGCUUUGUAUUGGACUUUGAACAGAUCUGUGUAGGAUAGGUGGGAGGCUUUGAAGCAGGGUCGCUAGAUCUUGUGGAGCCAACGUUGAAAUACCACCCUGGUGUGUUUGAGGUUCUAACCUAGGUCCAUUAUCUGGAUCGGGGACAGUGCAUGGUAGGCAGUUUGACUGGGGCGGUCUCCUCCCAAAGCGUAACGGAGGAGUUCGAAGGUACGCUAGUUACGGUCGGACAUCGUGACGAUAGUGCAAUGGCAUAAGCGUGCUUAACUGCGAGACUGACAAGUCGAGCAGAUGCGAAAGCAGGACAUAGUGAUCCGGUGGUUCUGUAUGGAAGGGCCAUCGCUCAACGGAUAAAAGGUACUCUGGGGAUAACAGGCUGAUACCGCCCAAGAGUUCAUAUCGACGGCGGUGUUUGGCACCUCGAUGUCGGCUCAUCUCAUCCUGGGGCUGUAGCCGGUCCCAAGGGUAUGGCUGUUCGCCAUUUAAAGAGGUACGUGAGCUGGGUUUAAAACGUCGUGAGACAGUUUGGUCCCUAUCUUCCGUGGGCGCUGCAGAUUUGAGGAAGCCUGCUCCUAGUACGAGAGGACCGGAGUGGACACACCUCUGGUGUAUCGGUUGUCACGCCAGUGGCAUUGCCGAGUAGCUAAGUGUGGAAGAGAUAACCGCUGAAAGCAUCUAAGCGGGAAACUCGUUUCAAGAUGAGAUCUGCCGGGGCCUUGAGCCCCCUAAAGAGUCGUUCAAGACCAGGACGUUGAUAGGUCAGGUGUGGAAGCAA
This 1250-nucleotide ribosomal RNA is filed under the name metagenome. Its description in RNAcentral is "bacterial LSU rRNA". It matches the Rfam family "Bacterial large subunit ribosomal RNA", at positions 1634 to 2876 of the family's 2925-position model. The record is from RNAcentral.